AUCUUAUGCCACAUUUCAAUCAGGUCAAUUGUACGCAAAUUCACUGUAGCGGCGCUAGAGCUAUUUCAUUCUGAUUUGUUUUAUUCUAAGAAUUUUAUCAUAACCAUUUUUAUCAAUGUCAUAGUAGCUGUUAUAAAGAUAGUUCAAAUUUGGGGAUAUGACAAGUGACAUUUAUUAGCAGUGUUUAGAGUACGUUCACUAAACGAAGGAAAGUAUUUAACCAGUAAACUAUUUCGACCAUUUCGGGAAAUCUGCAUCUAAAUUGUGUCGCCAAGAUUUAGCGAUGACGAAUAUACUCGCCAAACACGGUCUCUCCAUAAGGCUCUCGUCAAUGAACAUGGAUACACAAUAUUUCUUAUGCAUUGUCUCUGAGACGGAAAUUUCUGCCUAAUUCCUAGGAGCAAUAAUAAAAGAUAUCGUUCAACGAUAUGGAUCGAAACAAAUGAAAUUAAAGAAGUUCUACUUUUGAAUUCAUGGUUCGAUAACUCAGAAGUAAUCAUCUCUCAGAUUUUAGUCAGAAGAUUAAGAAACAAUGUCAGAAGGAAGAAGUAGACUGAAAAUGAAUUUUUUUUCAAAAACCAACAAAAAAUAUGCGAUCUGUUAGUCUUGAUUGCAGAUUUUAGAUAUCACGGAACUCAAAAUAUCUUUUUGUCUUUCUCAAAUUUUUUUGAAAUUGGACAUGACCCAUUGUAUGGUCUUGUCUUCAAGAAAGUAAAAUCCCGCAUCGGAAAUCCAGUUUAACAGAACAGCUGUGUAAGUGGGUUUAAGACAUGUUAAAAUUGCUGUUGUGGGCCAUGAUGGGAAAAUAAUUCACACAAUGUUGCAUCAUGGGAAAGUGGGAAAAAGGAGUACCAGUUCAUGUGUGGUUCUCAUCAUCCAAAACUCCCCACCAAAUGGAGCAAAAUUAGGAAGUCCGUUUCAAAAUAGCUUUGGCGCACUUCAAAACGCGACGUGAAUCUAAUUAAAUUAAGCCUCCGAAAUUGGGGACCUCAGUUCUCAUAUUUGUUGAGAGAGGGUCUACAGCAGCAGUUCCCAAAAGGCCUAUUGUGUCCAUGGCCUAUUUGUGGGCUGUGGAAUGGACUUUUUAUAUUUGUUUUAGGUGCUGCUUUUUGACAU
This is a long non-coding RNA of Argiope bruennichi, 1116 nucleotides long. RefSeq lists it as uncharacterized. The transcript is spliced from 3 exons. The record is from RefSeq and is a predicted model, not a curated record. NCBI's taxonomy places the organism in Eukaryota, Metazoa, Arthropoda, Arachnida, Araneae, Araneidae.